CCCACAUUAUGGACUAUUCAUCCCCACUCACUCCUUCAUAAAUGAUUCUCCUCCUAUUUUUUUACUUACGAACUUUGUUCAAUGCGUGGGCUUAAAAUUUUUGCAAUUUCACAUCUUCAAUUCAAGCAUUUUUCACAAGGAGGAUCUGUGAGAGAAUUCUUCUAAUGUGAUCGACGAAGGGAAUAUAUAUUCAGUAGUAAGGUACAUGUCCUGAAACUCGAUGUAUGUAAAUAUCCAGUUGAAAAUGAAUGAAGUGGAGGCCUAUUGUUGUUGAAGUGGAGGCCUAUUGUUGAUUUACUGCUUUCAUUAUACUGUAAUAACCGUACUGAUGGACUGUUAAUUAUAAGUUUGUGCAUUUGAACCGUUAAGUGUGUGUUAGAUAUUUAGAAAUGCAUAUGAGUUUAGUUGAGUAUUCGUUGUAAUAAUUCCAUGCUGGACUAACAGAAUAGUUUCUAUUAGUUUAGUUAAUUUCCGGUUUUCCUAGAUCUGUAUAAAUGGUAUUUUCAAGCUGUGAUUAAUUAGGCUGUAGACUGUUAAAGUAGUGUGAUACUUCUUCUGA
This is a long non-coding RNA of Nicotiana tabacum (common tobacco), 559 nucleotides long. RefSeq lists it as uncharacterized. Lineage: Eukaryota; Viridiplantae; Streptophyta; Magnoliopsida; Solanales; Solanaceae. The record is from RefSeq and is a predicted model, not a curated record.